ACCUUCUUCUCCCUCUUGGCAGGGCCCGUCUCUUUCAUGCCCUCCGCUCCUCUGGGCCAGCCCCGCCGAAGCAGCGUCCUCUCUCUCUCCAGGAGGAGAGUCCAGGCGGGUGGAAGGCCGAGCACAAUGGAACCUGAGAAUUUCUGUCACUCUCCGCAUAUGGCCCGAAGUGCUUUAAUCCCAAUUAGGGGCGGCUGACACACGGUCCUAUUCAUCCCCCUCAGCUCUUGAAUACAUUUGCCUAGAAAUGAACUUCGCCCAUAGAGGCGCCGCUAAAUGUGCCCAACAGCAAGGAAAAUCGAAUUGAGGCCUGCGCUCAAUUGGAAGGCGAGGGCGGGAGAAAAGGUAUGAAUUUAUAAGGUACACCGAAACAUUGCGAUUCAGCCACAAGUCGGGUGACUUUUCUUUGCACCCUGUCAACCGAAAGAGCCGGGAGAUAAGUGGGCUGAGGGGGGCGGGGGCGAAGGGAGGAGGAGGGCGGACGAGAAAAAAAGCAACUUUUUCCACAGACUUUGAAUAAGCCAGGAUAGGCCUUUCCCCCCUUUUGAAAGUGGUUGAUUGUGCGCGCCUUGAAAUACGCUCGCCUCCCUCCAGGCAUUCCAGCGGGGCGACCCAGCCUUGAGCGCGUCCAUUUCACAGAGGAGGGGGGGCGAGGCGGGCUGGAACUAAAGGAAGAUAUUUUAUUUUAAAAAAUAAUCAUGGCGUUUUCCACAGGCCCCCAAGGCGCAUUGAGACUCUGACUCUCUCUUUCUCAUUCUGUCUCUCUGGGAGUUGCCAAGGCAGGGCUCUCGACAGCCCAGGCCGCGAUCGUGUCAUCUGCCGGGGUUCCCAUAGAAGCCUAAUUACUAUUCAAAAGCUGCUCCAAUAUCCCACCCGCAUCUUGUCUGCCCCGCACAGCUGGUUGGGGGCCUCGGAGGUUCGCCUCCCCUCGCCCAGCCACCAAGCGAGACCUGGUCGCUUUACACAAUCGGCUGCCUUUUUUUCUUUAUUCUUCCGUGCAACAAGAUCUCGAUUCUCGGGCCUCUUUUCUCGUUUUGUAAAAUAAAUAAAUGAAUGAAUUAGGAGUACUGUAAAUGAAAGGAAGCCACCAACUCGAAAGGAGAGAGAAGCACUGUUAACAAAGCGGGGCUUAAUUGGAUUUGUCGGCUUCUUCUUGGGCAGAGCAGAGGGGCAGCAGUGAAGCUGGAGGGUGGGCUGGGUGCAGGCAGAGUCCAGAAUGACGCUUCCAGGAUUUAGGAAACACUUCCCCCCAUCCUCCAAAAAAAAACAUGUCUUUGAAAUGAAUGGCAGAUCUUGGCACUGGUCACAGAUAGCAACGUGUGUUACUUUGCUGACUUCAGAAUUUGGGAAGCCAGCCCUGUUGCAUUUUGGGCUCCCUUAUGCGAAGUGAGGCCCUGGACAUCUCCGCUAAAGUCGCCCUUUGACGGUGCCACUGGAGCUCAGAGCCGCCCGUGGAAUCCUGAGGUGGCCAAGUGACCUGUAACACUUAAGGCUGCAGGUGUGUGUGUAGAUGACACUGUGGAAUCCACCCCCUAAAACAGAGCAAAAACCCAACAACCCCAGUGUUAUCAGGAAGAGUAGUGCUAGGGCUGAUUAGCCACAGUCCUCUUCUAUAUCUCUGAGGGCAGGGAUUUCAGGGAGACCUGGGCACCUCCUCUAGUCAAGAUGUUAGCCACAGAAUGCAUGCCCUAUAGCCAGGGGUAGGGAAAGUUUUUGAGCCAGAGGACCAUAUUCACCAUAUUCACAAUGGGCAAGAUUCUGAGGGACACAUGUCAGUGGUGGACAGGGCCAGAGGCAAACUAGGGCAGAUGUUUCAACACCCACCCGUACAUCUCUCUAUCCUUCAUCUAGGCAAGCAAGAGGCCUUCUGUUAGUUGGAAGGUCACAUUUCAACCAGACAAUAGGGAACAUAGGGAACAGCCUUAUAUAGUGGUACCUCAGAUUACAUACACUUCAGGUUACAUACGCUUCAGGUUACACACUCCGCUAACCCAGAAAUCUUACCGCAGGUUAAGAACUUUGCUUCAGGAUGAGAACAGAAAUCGUGCUGCAGCGGUGCAGCAGCAGCAGGAGGCCCCAUUAGCUAAAGUGGUGCUUCAGGUUAAGAACAGUUUCAGGUUAAGAACAGACCUCCAGAACGAAUUAAGUUCUUAAUCCAAGGUACCACUGUACAGUGUCAGACCAUUGUUCCACCUCUCUAGCAAGGGCUCUCAGGUUUCAGAUAAGGCACAUUCCCAGGCCUACCUGGAGUGGCUGGGAAUUGAACACAGGACCUUCUGAAUGCAAAGCAGAUGCUCUAUCACUGAGCUACAGACUUUCCCUAGGGAGGGCAUAGAGUAGGGCGGGGGCCUAUGAGGGGUGUGGCCUGGGAAGGGCCCAGGGGUCAGAUAGAUCUGAAGGGGCAUAUUUGACCCUAAGCCUCUGCUUCUCCACUCAGCCCCUGCCCUUAACCUAAAGCACACCUACUAUAUCUGAAAGAGAAUAUGUUUACAUGGUCAGAUGGCAUGACUUUUGGGCUUUCCUCUCUGUGGCCUAAGCCUUAGCAUUAGGGAGGUUUAAAUGAAUUACUGGGUGGUGUAGUGGUUAGACAGACUAGGUCAGACAGACUAGGACCUUGAAGAUGAGAAUUCAAAUCCCAACACAGCUAUGAAACUCAUUUAGGCCAGUCACUGUCUCUGAGCCUAACCUACCUCACAGGGUUGUUGUGAUGAUAAAAAGUAGAGGUGGAAGAACUAUGUAUGUCACCUUGAGUUCCUUGGAGGAAAGGUAGGAUAGAAAUGUAAUAAAACAAAACAAACAAAAUUGUCUUAAAACUUGUUUUCAGGGGCCCCCUGCUGCCGCAAGUGAGAUAACAGAGACGUGUCCUGAGCAUGUGUUGAGUGCCUUCCUCUUAUAAAGUAACUGCAACAGGCCACACUUAUCUAAGAUGAGAGGCAGAGAGCCUAGUAUUCAUGUAGGCUUCAAACCCAGCAUUAUCUCAUUUUAAAAAAUUCACAACUGUAAGAAGAGAUAGGACAAAAAGAAUGAAAAAAGCUAUUGAAAGCUUUAUAGGUUUUAAACGGUCUCCACUAAAUAGUUGUCCCAGUGAAAGCUUCUUUUCAUCUUACCUCUAUUUAAGAAUAUAAUUCAAGGCAACAAUCCUCAGACUGUUUACGAAGAGUCAAGUGUCGCUAGUCAAAAGCAAAUUACACGGUUGCUAUCCUGGGAGAGAGUUCUCUCUGUCUCUCUUUUAACCCAGGGGUGGGUAGCGAUAUUCUCUCAAGGCCCUUCCCCACUAAAAGCAAUAUAUAUUUAAUUUACACAGCCACGAGGAACAGAAACUUAUUUUUGAUUCAAAAAUAAAAUCUGGCAUUGAGAGGAUUCUCUCCCGAAAGAAUCAUGUCAAGGCUGAUCUUGUGUAUGAAAAUGCCGGUUUAGAAGGGAAUACACAUAAACUUGCAGUGGAUAAACUGAUUAGGGGUUAACUGAAUUUACUCUGGUAAAAAGUGGUGGCUAUUUUGUGUGUGUGUAAAUUGUAAAUUGACUUGUAAAUUGACUCCGAUCAGAUGCCAUGCGGAAUGCUCUUUAGCCCUUACACCAUUUAUUCUCACCGGCCAUAACAAUCCAAUUGACUUUACUCAGAUUGUGGGGAGGAGAAUGAGCGGGUGUGGGGAAUAAAUGGACUGGAAAGACGAAGAUGCUGCAAGAUUCCAGGGAGCUGAUUUUGACUGAAACACACCUUUCUUUGAGCAGGAACGAGGUCCUGCCUUGGGGAGAGAAAAUAGGCUGCUCCGUUUGCACUGGGAGAAUCUGGGCCACUGAAUGAACUUGCAGCAUUUCUUUCUUUCUCUUUCUUUCGUUCCCCCAACGUUUUUUUGUUUUGUUUUGUUUUGUUCAAGCAUCCACUGUGUUUCUUUCCCCACAGCAUAAUGGAGCUGGCCCUGUAUACAGGCAUUCAUGCUGGUUUGAAUGUAAUGUUGAACCUUCUCAGUGCUGGAGCGGUUUGAUGGUUUGAAUGGAGCUCCCUGGUGGGACAUUGCUAGGCGCAACUGUGCCUCUUUGGACGCCUGUUGUUCCUUAACAUUCAUGCCUCAUUAUGGGGCAACCUGUUCAAGCCAAGAGAGAGCCAGUCCUGAGCCAAAGCCUUCCCUCGGGGGCGUUGGCAGUUCAGAGAGAGAGAGAGGGAGGGAGGGAGAGAUUGAGGGAGAGGGCUAAGGAGGGGGGGGGGGGUAAAAAUCUCUUUUGGUCGCUGGGCAAAAGUGGUUUCCCCCUUUUAACUGGUCUUUCCAGCGGCCCAGUUGAAGUGUCUCAAAAGGGACUAGUGGAAUGUUUUGACUCUCAACAUUGUCUCGGAAUAAAGCUAGAAGCAUGUAAUUAAUGUGUCCUUUUAAUAAGGGACAAUAAAGCCGUUCAAGCUAUUUAAUUUCAUUUAAUUUUCCAUCCCAUUUGCUUCCAAGGCUCCUUUUACCCAUUUUUUUUUUUAAACCCAGCCUUUCAUGGCGUGGCUUGCUUCAGUGGGCACGUUAGAUCGAUUUCAGCCUGCCUUUUUAGGGAUUGGGGGGAAAAGGAGAUAGACAAAAAUCAAAGCAAACGUGUCUCCUUCCCUUUUUUUUGGGGGGGGGGAGACCAGUUAUUGUAACUAAAAGAAGCUUCCAGGCAACUGAGCCACAGGAACGGAACAAAAUAAAUAUAAUAAAAUAAAAAUAAAAUAAAAUAAAGCCAACGUGCGGGGCCGCUGCCAUCCUUUCCAGGGGUUGGGAGACGAGGUGUAACUUGGAUGUACAUGCGGAUAUAGAAAGAAAUGGUUUUGUCUCGCAACCGACCAGCUGUGGGUUGCUUUCCGUCGGAGGCUUCGCGUGGCGCUCGCGACUCCAGCCGGCCGUGGCGAGGCUGCCCCACUAGAGCAGAAGGGAGCUUCUACCUUUCCCCUUUGACGCCUCCGACCAGUGCCCUGGCGGCCGGCGGGCGGGUCAGGAAGGGUAUAUUUCAACCGGUUGUCACCCCGAAGCCGGCAGGCCAGAGGUUAGACGGACUAGUCCUUGGCUUGAAUUUAUUGCUCUCCGCUUUUUGUUUCGCCCUUUGCUUCCCAUUCAGGAUGCGGACCGCAGGGGUCAUCUUCAGUCUUCGGUCCCGGCCACCGCCCCCCUCAGAAGCCUCUGCAACAGCCCAAACGAUCCCUUCUCGAGAAAGCACCGAUCCAAUUCCACCUGACCCAGGAAAGAAAGGAUUGCUGAACUCGGGUCGGUACAAAGGCCGUUUUUAGUCAGGUUCCCCCAAUCCACAUCUCUCCCCUCAUCCAACAUCACCG
This 5287-nucleotide long non-coding RNA is filed under the name Podarcis lilfordi (Lilford's wall lizard). Lineage: Eukaryota; Metazoa; Chordata; Lepidosauria; Squamata; Lacertidae. The record is from RNAcentral.